UCUAUGGCCAUACCACCCUGAACCACCCUGAAUGUGCCCAGUCUCCUCUGAUCUCAGAAGUUAAGCAGGGUUGGGCCUGGUUAAUACUUGGAUGGAAGAAAUGAGAAUUGUGGCAACUAUUAGAU
Cebus imitator (Panamanian white-faced capuchin) is the source of this 125-nucleotide ribosomal RNA. The record is from Ensembl. NCBI's taxonomy places the organism in Eukaryota, Metazoa, Chordata, Mammalia, Primates, Cebidae.